AUUGAACGCUGGCGGCAGGCUUAACACAUGCAAGUCGAGCGGGGUGAUGGUGCUUGCACUAUCACUUAGCGGCGGACGGGUGAGUAAUGCUUAGGAAUCUGCCUAUUAGUGGGGGACAACAUCUCGAAAGGGAUGCUAAUACCGCAUACGUCCUACGGGAGAAAGCAGGGGAUCACUUGUGACCUUGCGCUAAUAGAUGAGCCUAAGUCGGAUUAGCUAGUUGGUGGGGUAAAGGCCUACCAAGGCGACGAUCUGUAGCGGGUCUGAGAGGAUGAUCCGCCACACUGGGACUGAGACACGGCCCAGACUCCUACGGGAGGCAGCAGUGGGGAAUAUUGGACAAUGGGGGGAACCCUGAUCCAGCCAUGCCGCGUGCGUGAAGAAGGCCUUAUGGUUGUAAGGCACUUUAAGCGAGGAGGAGGCUCUUUUGGUUAAUACCCAAGAUGAGUGGACGUUACUCGCAGAAUAAGCACCGGCUAACUCUGUGCCAGCCGCCGCGGUAA
Molecule: ribosomal RNA, 503 nt
Filed under: uncultured bacterium
Lineage: Bacteria
Description: partial 16S ribosomal RNA
Rfam family: Bacterial small subunit ribosomal RNA
Source: RNAcentral